RNAcentral lists this ribosomal RNA (492 nucleotides) under uncultured bacterium. RNAcentral's name for it is "partial 16S ribosomal RNA". It matches the Rfam family "Bacterial small subunit ribosomal RNA", at positions 30 to 507 of the family's 1533-position model. The record is from RNAcentral.
AGUGAACGCUGGCGGUAGGCCUAACACAUGCAAGUCGAACGGCAGCACAGUAAGAGCUUGCUCUUACGGGUGGCGAGUGGCGGACGGGUGAGGAAUACAUCGGAAUCUACUUUUUCGUGGGGGAUAACGUAGGGAAACUUACGCUAAUACCGCAUACGACCUACGGGUGAAAGCAGGGGAUCUUCGGACCUUGCGCGAUUGAAUGAGCCGAUGUCGGAUUAGCUAGUUGGCGGGGUAAAGGCCCACCAAGGCGACGAUCCGUAGCUGGUCUGAGAGGAUGAGCAGCCACACUGGGAGGGAGACACGGUCCAGAGGCAUAGGGGAGGCAGCAGUGGGGAAUAUGGGACAAGGGGCGCAAGACAGAGCCAGACAGACCGCGUGGGUGAAGAAGGACGUCGGGUUGGAAAGGCCGGUUGUUGGGAAAGAAAAGCAGCAGGUUAAUAACCAGCUGUGAUGAAGGGAAACAAUGAAUAAGCAACGGCUAAAUUAGUG